Molecule: ribosomal RNA, 251 nt
Filed under: uncultured bacterium
Lineage: Bacteria
Description: partial 16S ribosomal RNA
Rfam family: Bacterial small subunit ribosomal RNA
Source: RNAcentral
UACGGGGGAGCAAGCGUUGUUCGGAUUUACUGGGCGUAAAGGGCGCGUAGGCGGCCACCGCAAGUCAAUUGUGAAAUCUCCGGGCUCAACCCGGAAAGGUCGACUGAUACUGCGGGGCUAGAGUGCAGAAGGGCAACUGGAAUUCUCGGUGUAGCGGUGAAAUGCGUAGAUAUCUGGAGGAACACCGGUGGCGAAGCGGCAUCCUGGACCGGCAUUGACGCUGAGGCGCGAAAGCCAGGGGAGCAAACGGG